RNAcentral lists this transfer RNA (69 nucleotides) under Ictidomys tridecemlineatus (thirteen-lined ground squirrel). Its description in RNAcentral is "Spermophilus tridecemlineatus (thirteen-lined ground squirrel) tRNA". It matches the Rfam family "tRNA". From Rfam's summary of the family: Transfer RNA (tRNA) molecules are approximately 80 nucleotides in length. Their secondary structure includes four short double-helical elements and three loops (D, anti-codon, and T loops). Lineage: Eukaryota; Metazoa; Chordata; Mammalia; Rodentia; Sciuridae. The record is from Rfam by way of RNAcentral.
GAGGCUGUGGCUCAGUGGUAGAGCACUUGCCUAGCAUGUGUGAGGCCCUGGGUUCAAUCCUCAGCUUCA